GACGAACGCUGGCGGCGCGCUUAACACAUGCAAGUCGAGCGAUGAAAUCUUAACAGAACCCUUCGGGGCGAAGAUAAGACGGAUUAGCGGCGGACGGGUGAGUAACACGUGAGUAACCUGCCUUUUACACAGGGAUAGCCUCGGGAAACCGGGAUUAAAACCUGAUGAAACUAUCAAAUCACAUGAUUAAGAAAGUUAAAACUCCGGUGGUAAAAGAUGGACUCGCGUCCCAUUAGCUAGUUGGUGAAGGUAACGGCCCACCAAGGCAACGAUGGGUAGCCGGCCUGAGAGAGUGAACGGCCACAUUGGAACUGAGAAACGGUCCAAACUCCUACGGGAGGCAGCAGUGGGGAAUAUUGCACAAUGGGGGAAACCCUGAUGCAGCGACGCCGCGUGAGCGAAGAAGGCCUUCGGGUCGUAAAGCUCUUUUAUAUGGGAAGAUAAUGACGGUACCAUAAGAAAAAGCCCCGGCUAACUACGUGCCAGCAGCCGCGGUAAUACGUAGGGGGCUAGCGUUGUCCGGAAUCACUGGGCGUAAAGGGUUCGCAGGCGGCAAUGCAACGUCAGAUGUAAAACGGCAAAGGCUCAACCUUUGUAACGCAUCUGAAACUGUAUAGCUUGAGAAGUGUAACGGCCACACUGGAAAUACUCUCAAGCUGUACCCCGGUGAACAUGGCGUAAGGCAUUACUCCAAACACAGAAAUCACCCGGUGGCGCAAAAUGGCGCACUUGGUGGGGCACACAUUCUGAACGCCUGAAGGGAACGAACACCGCUCGGGGAAGCACCAAGGAAUUCGGAUACCCUGGGGUAAAGGUCCCAAGGCCC
RNAcentral lists this ribosomal RNA (826 nucleotides) under uncultured Clostridia bacterium. Its description in RNAcentral is "bacterial SSU rRNA". It matches the Rfam family "Bacterial small subunit ribosomal RNA", at positions 28 to 922 of the family's 1533-position model. The record is from RNAcentral. Lineage: Bacteria; Bacillati; Bacillota; Clostridia.